Molecule: ribosomal RNA, 478 nt
Filed under: uncultured bacterium
Lineage: Bacteria
Description: partial 16S ribosomal RNA
Rfam family: Bacterial small subunit ribosomal RNA
Source: RNAcentral
GACGAACGCUGGCGGCGUGCUUAACACAUGCAAGUCGAACGGUAAGGCCCUUCGGGGUACACGAGUGGCGAACGGGUGAGUAACACGUGGGUGAUCUGCCCUGCACUUCGGGAUAAGCCUGGGAAACGGGGUCUAAUACCGGAUAGGACUCCUGGCUUCAUGGUUGGGGGUGGAAAGCUUUUGCGGUGUGGGAUGGGCCCGCGGCCUAUCAGCUUGUUGGUGGGGUAAUGGCCGACCAAGGCGACGACGGGUAGCCGGCCUGAGAGGGGGACCGGUCACACUGGGACUGAGAUACGGACCAGACUGCUACGGGAGGCAGCAGUGGGGAAUAUUGCACAAUGGGCGCAAGCCUGAUGCAGCGACGCCGCGUGAGGGAUGACGGCCUUCGGGUUGUAAACCUCUUUCAGCUAUGACGAAGCGCAAGUGACGGUAGUAGCAGAAGAAGGACCGGCCAACUACGUGCCAGCAGCCGCCGUAA